CCCUUAGAUGUUCUGGGCCGCACGCGCGCUACACUGAUACAUGCAACGAGUUUAUAACCUUGAUCUGACGGUCUGGGUAAUCUUCAAACUGUAUCGUGUUAGGGAUCGAUUCUUGCAAUUUUUAAUCGUAAACGAGGAAUUCCUAGUAAACGCAAGUCAUCAGCUUGCAUUGAUUACGUCCCUGCCCUUUGUACACACCGCCCGUCGACUCUACCGAUUGAAUGGUUCGGUGAAAACUUUGGACUGUGGCAUUGUCCUUCAUUGGACUUCGCCGUAGGAAAUUGUUUAAACCUCAUCAUUUAGAGGAAGAAGAAGUCGUAACA
RNAcentral lists this ribosomal RNA (323 nucleotides) under uncultured eukaryote. Its description in RNAcentral is "partial 18S ribosomal RNA". It matches the Rfam family "Eukaryotic small subunit ribosomal RNA", at positions 1470 to 1796 of the family's 1831-position model. The record is from RNAcentral.